GAUGAAGAACGCAGCUAAAUGCGAUAAGUAGUGUGAAUUGCAGAAGUACCGUGAAUCAUCGAAUCUUUGAACGCAAAUUGCACUCUCUGGUAUUCCGGGGAGUAUGCCUGUUUGAGGGUCGCUUAACAAACCAUCGAUUUCGUUGCUUUUUUUUUUUAAAGUGAUGUUUAUCGGAUUUGAGCCGUCUUUUUUUUUAUAUUUAAGUGGCUUAAAAUUGAUUUUUUUGGUACGAUCGAAGCGUAUUUUUAUGAUCAAUUUUUGGUUAAAGAAACGCACACGUACCGUUAUUUAUAUGAUGUAAUACGUUUGACUAUUGGAUUUAGUUCAUUCGUAUACGAUAUCUUUCAAUAUUUGACCUCAAAUCAGGUAAGAACACCCGCUGAACUUAAGCAUAUCAAUAAGCGGAGGA
RNAcentral lists this unclassified non-coding RNA (409 nucleotides) under soil metagenome. RNAcentral describes it as "partial contains 5.8S ribosomal RNA, internal transcribed spacer 2, and large subunit ribosomal RNA". The stretch from base 1 to 121 matches the Rfam family "5.8S ribosomal RNA", at positions 35 to 154 of the family's 154-position model. The record is from RNAcentral.